Prunus mume (Japanese apricot) is the source of this 1593-nucleotide long non-coding RNA. RefSeq lists it as uncharacterized. The record is from RefSeq and is a predicted model, not a curated record. Lineage: Eukaryota; Viridiplantae; Streptophyta; Magnoliopsida; Rosales; Rosaceae.
ACCUUCUCACCUUCUCACCUUCAAACUCCCUUCUCUCUUGCGAUACCCAGAGUCUAUACCCACAGUCACAGUCACUCUCUCAUUCCUCUCACCUUCAGCAUCUCUCUUCUUCAUCGAUUUCUUCUCUGUCCUCCAUCUCUGUCAUCAUCUAUUCUUAAACCCUAAAAGAGCGAGCCGUAGACCUCCUCCUCGUCAUCGAGAAGGGCCAUCAGAGUCCCUUUGUUAACCUUCGUCGUCGUCAUCCUCUUCCUCAAUGGAGUCCUCUUUCUCGUCGUCGUUGUCCUCCAGAGAUAGAUCAGUCGUUGGUCACUCUAACUUUUGUGAGACAAUUUCUAUGUCUUCUUCUCAAAUCAACGGCGCCACCGCUUUUGAAGUCUCCGGUCGUCAGUGGAAUAAACAGAGGAUCAACCUCUGUUUAUAAAGGCUUGCUCAGUUAUUUCAAAAGGGUCUUGUUUAUAAAGGCUUCAAGGUCAUGCCAUUGUUAAUGUGUUGAAUCUUGCUAUUGUUGAAGACAAAUGUUUGAUAUUGAUACUUAAAAUGGUUGAGCUUGUAGAUAGAUUUAACCCCCUGAAUAUCCAGGAACGCUACUCAUGGACAGGAUGUAUCUGCAUUCUACACAAAGCGUCUUACACAGUAAUGAUUUCAUGAAGCUGAGGCAUUUUGGAGCAAUUGUGGUGGACAUCAGUCCUUUCUCCAGCACAAGUUUUUUGUGAAGGUUCACAACAAGUACUCCGGAAAAGUAUAUAUUGUUGCUGAAUCUUGGUGGGAAAAAAGAAACUGUUGAUACUUCAUAUGAAGUAUUGGAGAAAGUCUCUGGGGCUUCAUUAGUGGGAAAGAAUGAGUACUUCUGUUCCUUAUUUUUUCAAAUUAUUGUCAGACUGGAGUUUAGUAUGUGGUUUCUUUUGUUUACUUAGUUCAUGUAGUUAUUUAUGCGUAUCACAAUUAUAAAGAGACUGUGAACUGCAGGUAUGAACCAUUAUUUGACUACUUUAAGGAGUUCUCUGAUGUGGCAUUCAGAAGUUGUUGCCGACAACUACGUAACUGAUGACAGUGCUGCGGUGGUAGAUGCCUGAUUGCAGAGUACACAAAUCGAGUGGGAGAAAUAUCCAAGGAGCAUGGUUUGAAGCUUGACAUUGAUGGGGCUUGCAUUUUCAAUUCAUCAGUUAGCAUGAAAGUGGAGGUGAGGUGGUGAAAGUAGUUGAUGAAGCUAAAGUGAGCCAUGGAGAGCGUAAAGGACUUGUGAUGAAGCUAAAGUGAGCCAUGAAGUUGUUGAGACACCAGCUGAAGGAAUGGAGCAAUUAAAGUGCAAUUGUAGUCUGCUUUGGCCCAAGUUAUGGAGAAGAAGGAGCCAUCUUAGCUGCUGAGGAUGUUGGGAUUAUUAGGGGCAGUUGUUCUAUUCAUGUUCAUUGUCUUCGUGAGCUUAAGACUUUUAGAGUAUGAUGAGAGGCAUACGUUCAUUUGUUUGAACUAAUUCUACCUUUAAUUUACAAGGUUUUUUUUUUUUUUUUUUUUUUGGCUUAUAGACAAGUAUGGAUCAUAUGCGGGGUUGAAAAAUUUGUGAUUUAUGGAAGUGUUGGAUAUAUAUUUCUUGUA